RNAcentral lists this transfer RNA (81 nucleotides) under Sphaerobolus stellatus SS14. It matches the Rfam family "tRNA". Rfam says of the family: Transfer RNA (tRNA) molecules are approximately 80 nucleotides in length. Lineage: Eukaryota; Fungi; Basidiomycota; Agaricomycetes; Geastrales; Sphaerobolaceae. The record is from Rfam by way of RNAcentral.
GGGCAUGUGGUUUAGUGGUAUAACGUUUGCUUAGCAUUCGUGAUUUGCGAAAGGUCCGGCGUUCAAUUCGCUGCUUGUCCA